RNAcentral lists this transfer RNA (90 nucleotides) under Polaromonas sp. RNAcentral's name for it is "tRNA-Leu". It matches the Rfam family "tRNA". From Rfam's summary of the family: Transfer RNA (tRNA) molecules are approximately 80 nucleotides in length. Their secondary structure includes four short double-helical elements and three loops (D, anti-codon, and T loops). The record is from RNAcentral. RNAcentral also lists the same sequence under 1 other name. Lineage: Bacteria; Pseudomonadati; Pseudomonadota; Betaproteobacteria; Burkholderiales; Comamonadaceae.
GUCAGAGUGGCGAAAUCGGUAGACGCAGCGGACUUAAACUCCGCCGACCCUUAAACGGUCGUACGGGUUCGAGUCCCGUCUCUGACACCA